GCGGGAGUAGCUUAGUUGGUAGAGCGGUUCCUUGCCAAGGAACAGGUCGCGGGUUCAAGUCCCGUCUCCCGCU
This 73-nucleotide transfer RNA is filed under the name Pseudomonadota bacterium. Its description in RNAcentral is "tRNA-Gly". It matches the Rfam family "tRNA". Rfam says of the family: Transfer RNA (tRNA) molecules are approximately 80 nucleotides in length. RNAcentral also lists the same sequence under 3 other names. The record is from RNAcentral. Lineage: Bacteria; Pseudomonadati; Pseudomonadota.